ACGAACGCUGGCGGCGUGCUUAGCCCCUGCAAGUCGAACGGAAAGGCCCUGCUUUUGUGGGGUGCUCGAGUGGCGAACGGGUGAGUAACACGUGAGUAACCUGCCCUUGACUUUUGGAUAACUUCAGGAAACUGGGGCUAAUACCGGAUAGGAGCUCCUGCUGCAUGGUGGGGGUUGGAAAGUUUCGGCGGUUGGGGAUGGACUCGGGGCUUAUCAGCUUGUUGGUGGGGUAGUGGCUUACCAAGGCUUUGACGGGUAGCCGGCCUGAGAGGGUGACCGGCCACAUGGGGACUGAGAUACGGACCAGACUCCUACGGGAGGCAGCAGUGGGGAAUAUUGCACAACGGGCGGAAGCCUGAUGCAGCAACGCCGCGUGCGGGAUGACGGCCUUCGGGUUGUAAAACGCUUUCGCCUGUGACGAAGCGUGAGUGACGGUAAUGGGUAAAGAAGCACCGGCUAACUACGUG
This 467-nucleotide ribosomal RNA is filed under the name uncultured bacterium. RNAcentral's name for it is "partial 16S ribosomal RNA". It matches the Rfam family "Bacterial small subunit ribosomal RNA", at positions 29 to 507 of the family's 1533-position model. The record is from RNAcentral.